GUGCCAGGGAAACUGUCGGAGAGAGAGCUCGUAACGGGGCGCAUGAGCUGGAAUGCAGCAGGGUAACAAAUCCAUAAGGGAGGAUAAUGCACUCGGAUCGGAGAGGCCUCUUUUGCCAAGGAGCAAAUGGGAGAGGGAUCCGGAGUGCGGAGAGCUUUUCUCCGAGGUGGCAUGGCCAUCGAACAAUAGACGUCUGGACAGGGAUUUCCAGCGCCUUUUGUUCCCGAAUCCUUGAUUGACUAAAUGACCCAACUACGGCGACCAGCCGAGAAGCUGGAAACAUGGACGGCACUGGACACUGGAAGAAAUAAUAUUUCCAAAAAAGUGCUUCCGCGAAGUCAACAUCAACAAUUUGUGAGAACUAUAAGAUCAGCAAAUAUAUAUAUAUAUAGCUCAUAUUUAAUUUGCUUAAAUAAAGAACGUACUGCUAAAAAUUG
This is a non-coding RNA of Drosophila melanogaster (fruit fly), 437 nucleotides long. Lineage: Eukaryota; Metazoa; Arthropoda; Insecta; Diptera; Drosophilidae. The record is from Ensembl.